This 799-nucleotide ribosomal RNA is filed under the name uncultured bacterium. Its description in RNAcentral is "bacterial SSU rRNA". It matches the Rfam family "Bacterial small subunit ribosomal RNA", at positions 8 to 796 of the family's 1533-position model. The record is from RNAcentral.
AGAGUUUGAUCCUGGCUCAGAUUGAACGCUGGCGGCAUGCCUUACACAUGCAAGUCGAACGGCAGCACGGACUUCGGUCGGGUGGCGAGUGGCGAACGGGUGAGUAAUACAUCGGAACGUGUCCUGGAGUGGGGGAUAGCCCGGCGAAAGCCGGAUUAAUACCGCAUACGCUCUGAGGAGGAAAGCGGGGGAUCUUUCGGGACCUCGCGCUCAAGGGGCGGCCGAUGGCAGAUUAGCUAGUUGGUGGGGUAAAGGCCUACCAAGGCGACGAUCUGUAGCUGGUCUGAGAGGACGACCAGCCACACUGGGACUGAGACACGGCCCAGACUCCUACGGGAGGCAGCAGUGGGGAAUUUUGGACAAUGGGCGCAAGCCUGAUCCAGCAAUGCCGCGUGUGUGAAGAAGGCCUUCGGGUUGUAAAGCACUUUUGUCCGGAAAGAAAACCUUUGCCCUAAUACGGCGGGGGGAUGACGGUACCGGAAGAAUAAGCACCGGCUAACUACGUGCCAGCAGCCGCGGUAAUACGUAGGGUGCAAGCGUUAAUCGGAAUUACUGGGCGUAAAGCGUGCGCAGGCGGUUCGUUAAGACAGAUGUGAAAUCCCCGGGCUUAACCUGGGAACUGCAUUUGUGACUGGCGGACUCGAGUAUGGCAGAGGGGGGUAGAAUUCCACGUGUAGCAGUGAAAUGCGUAGAGAUGUGGAGGAAUACCGAUGGCGAAGGCAAGCCCCCUGGGCCAAUACUGACGCUCAUGCACGAAAGCGUGGGGGAGCAAACAGGGAAUUAGAUACCCCCGUAGUCC